RNAcentral lists this ribosomal RNA (253 nucleotides) under uncultured bacterium. RNAcentral describes it as "partial 16S ribosomal RNA". It matches the Rfam family "Bacterial small subunit ribosomal RNA", at positions 524 to 776 of the family's 1533-position model. The record is from RNAcentral.
UACGUAGGGUGCAAGCGUUGUCCGGAAUUAUUGGGCGUAAAGAGCUCGUAGGCGGCUUGUCGCGUCGGCUGUGAAAACCUGGGGCUCAACCCCGGGCCUGCAGCCGAUACGGGCAAGCUAGAAUUCGGUAGGGGAGACUGGAAUUCCCGGUGUAGCGGUGAAAUGCGCAGAUAUCGGGAAGAACACCCGCGGCGAAGGCGGUUCUCUGGGACGGUACUGACGCUGAGACGCGAAAGCGUGGGGAGCGAACAGG